RNAcentral lists this long non-coding RNA (330 nucleotides) under Ananas comosus (pineapple). Its description in RNAcentral is "long non-coding RNA (ACOM_LNC035968)". Lineage: Eukaryota; Viridiplantae; Streptophyta; Magnoliopsida; Poales; Bromeliaceae. The record is from RNAcentral.
CUCCCUCCCACUAUCAACAUCUGCAUCGUUAAUGCAGCAUGUGGGAAUCAAACCUGUGCUACUAACUCUGAUGGAUCGUAGGCACUAAUAAUUUCAAAAGCAUAUGUUGUAGAAAGGUUGCACCCAUCAUACUUAGAGAUUCAGCCACAAUGCUUAUGAGUUUCAACUUGACUGAAUACACCUGAGUGUUAGGUCUAUUGUUUGAUUUCUUACCGUACUAUUAUGGACUGCAGCCUCACUCAACUUAUUGAGCUCACCCGACUCAACUUAUUAGUUUCGUAAAUCUAUUGUGACGGAGCAAAAUGCUGGUUCCAUUUUUAGCCAAUAAUA